GGGCCGAUAGUUCAGCAGGGAGAACAUCUGGUUCGCAAUCAGAAGGUCGGGGGUUCGAAUCCCCCUCGGUCCACCA
This 76-nucleotide transfer RNA is filed under the name Candidatus Omnitrophota bacterium. RNAcentral describes it as "Candidatus Omnitrophica bacterium tRNA-Ala". It matches the Rfam family "tRNA". Rfam says of the family: Transfer RNA (tRNA) molecules are approximately 80 nucleotides in length. RNAcentral also lists the same sequence under 1 other name. The record is from RNAcentral. Lineage: Bacteria; Pseudomonadati; Candidatus Omnitrophota.